UUACAUGGCUAUACUGCUUCAUAAAAGCUUGUGCUAAGUCCUUUCAUGAAUUGAUUUUAGCACGGCUCAAUUGAUUGUACCAUUUAGCUGCUGACCCGAUCAGACUGUCUUAGAAGGAGUGGAUUAACAUUCGGUCGUUAUUAACAUAUCCUGUCAUCCUUUGACGAAACAUUAUGAUGUGAGCUUCAGGACAACUAGUCCAUUGUACUUUUCAAACUCUGGAGUUUUAAAUUUUGGCGAGAGUACUAGAUCAGGGAC
This 258-nucleotide long non-coding RNA is filed under the name Gossypium barbadense (sea-island cotton). RNAcentral describes it as "long non-coding RNA (GBAR_LNC005778)". The record is from RNAcentral. Lineage: Eukaryota; Viridiplantae; Streptophyta; Magnoliopsida; Malvales; Malvaceae.